AUUGAACGCUGGCGGCAGGCUUAACACAUGCAAGUCGAACGAGUGGCGGACGGGUGAGUAAUGCUUGGGAAUCUAGCUUAUGGAGGGGGAUAACUACGGGAAAAUGUAGCUAAUACCGCGUACCAUAGGAUGAGCCCAAGUGGGAUUCUGUAGUUGGUGAGGUAAAGGCUCACCAAGCCGACGAUCUUUAGCUGGUCUGAGCGGAUGACCGGCCACUCUGGGACGGAGAGACGGCCCUGACUCCUACGAGAGGACGCAGUGGGGAAUAUUGCGCAAUGGGAGCAACCCUGACACAGCCAUGCCGCGUGUAUGAAGAAGGCCUUAGGGUUGUAAAGUACUUUCAGCGGGGAGGCGUUACCCGCAGAAGAAGCACCGGCUAACUCCGUGCCAGCCGCCGCGGUAAUAC
Molecule: ribosomal RNA, 406 nt
Filed under: uncultured bacterium
Lineage: Bacteria
Description: partial 16S ribosomal RNA
Rfam family: Bacterial small subunit ribosomal RNA
Source: RNAcentral